RNAcentral lists this ribosomal RNA (492 nucleotides) under uncultured bacterium. RNAcentral describes it as "partial 16S ribosomal RNA". It matches the Rfam family "Bacterial small subunit ribosomal RNA", at positions 29 to 507 of the family's 1533-position model. The record is from RNAcentral.
AGUGAACGCUGGCGGUAGGCCUAACACAUGCAAGUCGAACGGCAGCACAGUAAGAGCUUGCUCUUACGGGUGGCGAGUGGCGGACGGGUGAGGAAUACAUCGGAAUCUACUUUUUCGUGGGGGAUAACGUAGGGAAACUUACGCUAAUACCGCAUACGACCUACGGGUGAAAGCAGGGGAUCUUCGGACCUUGCGCGAUUGAAUGAGCCGAUGUCGGAUUUGCUAGUUGGCGGGGUAAAGGCCCACCAAGGCGACGAUCCGUAGCUGGUCUGAGGGGAUGAUCAGCCACACUGGAACUGAGACACGGUCCAGACUCCUACGGGAGGCAGCAGUGGGGAAUAUUGGACAAAGGGCGCAAGCCUGAUCCAGCCAUACCGCGUGGGUGAAGAAGGCCUUCGGGUUGUAAAGCCCUUUUGUUGGGAAAGAAAAGCAGCAGGUUAAUACCCCGCUGUUCUGACGGUACCCAAAGAAUAAGCACCGGCUAACUUCGUG